UACGGAGGGUGCAAGCGUUGUUCGGAAUUACUGGGCGUAAAGCGCGCGUAGGCGGCUUUGUAAGUUAGAGGUGAAAGCCCGGGGCUCAACCCCGGAAUUGCCUUUAAGACUGCAUCGCUUGAAUCCGGGAGAGGUGAGUGGAAUUCCGAGUGUAGAGGUGAAAUUCGUAGAUAUUCGGAAGAACACCAGUGGCGAAGGCGGCUCACUGGACCGGUAUUGACGCUGAGGUG
Molecule: ribosomal RNA, 230 nt
Filed under: uncultured microorganism
Description: partial 16S ribosomal RNA
Rfam family: Bacterial small subunit ribosomal RNA
Source: RNAcentral